AACGAACGCUGGCGGCAGGCCUAACACAUGCAAGUCGAACGCUGUAGCAAUACAGAGUGGCAGACGGGUGAGUAACGCGUGGGAACCUUCCCAAUGGUGCGGAAUAGCCCAGGGAAACUUGGGGUAAUACCGCAUAAGCCCUUAGGGGGAAAGAUUUAUUGCCAUUGGAUGGGCCCGCGUCGGAUUAGCUAGUUGGUGAGGUAAUGGCUCACCAAGGCAACGAUCCGUAGCUGGUUUGAGAGAAUGACCAGCCACACUGGGACUGAGACACGGCCCAGACUCCUACGGGAGGCAGCAGUGGGGAAUCUUGGACAAUGGGCGCAAGCCUGAUCCAGCCAUGCCGCGUGAGUGACGAAGGCCUUAGGGUUGUAAAGCUCUUUUGCCGGGGACGAUAAUGACGGUACCCGGAGAAUAAGUCCCGGCUAACUUCGUGCCAGCCGCCGCUGUAA
Molecule: ribosomal RNA, 449 nt
Filed under: uncultured bacterium
Lineage: Bacteria
Description: partial 16S ribosomal RNA
Rfam family: Bacterial small subunit ribosomal RNA
Source: RNAcentral